UACGUAGGUGGCAAGCGUUGUCCGGAAUUACUGGGCGUAAAGCGUGCGCAGGCGGCUCCUUAAGUCAGAUGUGAAAUCCCCGGGCUUAACCUGGGAACUGCGUUUGAAACUGGGGAGCUGGAGUGUAGAAGAGGGGGGUGGAAUUCCAGGUGUAGCAGUGAAAUGCGUAGAGAUCUGGAGGAACACCGAUGGCGAAGGCAGCCCCCUGGGCUAACACUGACGCUCAUGCACGAAAGCGUGGGGAGCAAACAGG
Molecule: ribosomal RNA, 253 nt
Filed under: uncultured bacterium
Lineage: Bacteria
Description: partial 16S ribosomal RNA
Rfam family: Bacterial small subunit ribosomal RNA
Source: RNAcentral